RNAcentral lists this transfer RNA (72 nucleotides) under Sparassis crispa. Its description in RNAcentral is "tRNA-Glu". It matches the Rfam family "tRNA". Rfam says of the family: Transfer RNA (tRNA) molecules are approximately 80 nucleotides in length. Their secondary structure includes four short double-helical elements and three loops (D, anti-codon, and T loops). Further hydrogen bonds mediate the characteristic L-shaped molecular structure. tRNAs have two regions of fundamental functional importance: the anti-codon, which is responsible for specific mRNA codon recognition, and the 3' end, to which the tRNAs corresponding amino acid is attached (by aminoacyl-tRNA synthetases). tRNAs cope with the degeneracy of the genetic code in two manners: having more than one tRNA (with a specific anti-codon) for a particular amino acid; and 'wobble' base-pairing, i.e. permitting non-standard base-pairing at the 3rd anti-codon position. Lineage: Eukaryota; Fungi; Basidiomycota; Agaricomycetes; Polyporales; Sparassidaceae. The record is from RNAcentral.
UCGGAUAUGGUGUAAUGGCUAACAUUACCGCCUCUCAUGCGGUGGCUCGGGGUUCGAUUCCCUGUGUCUGAA